AGCAUCUGUCACUUCAUUUAUGCUUGUUACCUUUUCAUAGAAGAAAGUACUAUCUUUACUCUUUAUUAACCUCUGUUAUCUUGAAAAAUAACACAAAUUAAUCUUUUGCGGAAGAAUCCUGAUGGCGUUGGGGGGAUGGAAAGUACACGGGGCAUUGUGUUCCCAGGUUUCUGAGUCUGCAUGCUAGAGCAGCUUUCUGCUUCUUCUAUUAAUGCAGCAUUUUCACUUUGUCUCUCAGGGUUUACGGUCCAGCAGAGUCUCAGAGCGCAGUCUUUGGAGAUGUGUGCCCCCUACUCACGUCUCUCUUGGAUGGGUACAAUAUUUGCGUUAUGGCGUAUGGACAGACGGGCAGUGGAAAGAGCUAUACCAUGCUGGGACCCCAUUCGGACGAUGGCCCUGUUCUGCCGCUUGACCCACAGAGUGACUUAGGAAUUAUCCCUAGAGUGGCUGAGGAGCUCUUCAGGGCACAGUGAUUUGCGGCACUGGAAUCCUCA
Molecule: small RNA, 494 nt
Filed under: Pongo abelii (Sumatran orangutan)
Lineage: Eukaryota; Metazoa; Chordata; Mammalia; Primates; Hominidae
Description: retained intron
Source: RNAcentral